This 4668-nucleotide long non-coding RNA is filed under the name Sus scrofa (pig). RNAcentral describes it as "lncRNA (ENSSSCG00000062354.1)". The record is from RNAcentral. Lineage: Eukaryota; Metazoa; Chordata; Mammalia; Artiodactyla; Suidae.
UUCAGAGUUAAAAGCAAACCCUGGCUAACAGCCAGAAAGAAAACAAGGACUUAAGUUCAACAGCCACAAGAAGCUGACCAAAAUCAAUAUACUUGGAAGACCUCGAACUGUAAAUGAGUAUGCAGCCUGGCUGAUGCCUUGAUUUUAGCCUGUUAGAGUCUGUGAAGAGAUGUGCCUAGACUUCUUUUGACUGACAACUGUUGUUUAAGCACCCAAGUUUGAGAUAAUUUAUUUCACAGCAGUAGAAGUAAAAUACAGAUGUAGACUAUUCAUAUCAUCUAGAAUAAUCCCUGAAAGCAUGGGUGAGUGAUCAAGAGUGAUAAAAUCAUAUAAAUGUAUAAGGAUGUCUUUACAAGAGGAGCUGUGUUAUAGAUGGAUUCACUGUAAUAAAUAACCAACCAAACAAUAUAAUCUUCAGGAAUCAACUACUAUAUCAUGAAAUCAGGCCAAAUUGAAGAUUCAAGUUCAACGAUAACAACAACUAUAUAUAUAUAUGUAAAGUUUCUGUUGUGGCAUAGCAGAAACGAAUCUGACUAGUGUCCAUGAGGAUUGGGAUUUUGACCCCUGUCCUCACUCAGUGGGUUGGGGAUCUGGUGUUGCUGUGAGCUGUGGUGCAUGUCGCAGAUCCGGCUUGGAUCCCUCAUUGCUGUGGCUGUGGCAUAGGCUGUGAGCUGUAGAUCUGAUUUGGCCCCUAGCCCAGGAACUUCCAUAUGCUGCAGGUGUGGCCUUAAUAAAAAAACUAAAAUGAUAAUAAUAAUAAUAAUAAUAUACACACAUAUGUAUAUUAGAAAACCACUAGAUAGAUAUUUUAUUUAGAAUUCUUUAUAUAUGUUGAUAUGUAUGAAAACAGUAAAUGCUUGGAGAAAAAAACAGAUGAUACUUAAAGGGAUGAUACAUGAAUUAGAAACCAAAGAGUUGGUUUCUGCAUUAUUAAGUAAUAUCUAGAGUUUCUAGGGGUUUUAACUGGGAAAAAAAUUCUACCUAUGCUAGAAAAAGUAAUGACCUAUUCUCCUCAUAUAUCCUUUCUCUUACUUUGUUUUUAUCUGUAAUUAAAACUCCAUUCUCUCCACCAAAUAUGGAGAGGAACAAGAUAAACUUCCUCUAAUUCAACUAGCAUAACUGGGAGAGUUUGCAUAAUUUUAGAAUAUAGUCACAAUUGGAACAAAUUAAUAACAGCUAGUAGUUUUAUCUAUUUUGUUUAUUGAUGCAUUUGCAGUCUCUAGAAUAGUGUCUUAAAAGUAAGAAGAUAAAAUAAAUAUGUGUUUAAAGAUUUAAUGGAUAAAUGAAAAGGAAAAUUGGACUCUACAGUAAAGAGUUUUAAAAAUUCAGAUAUGUUACUUUACCAUAUCUAUCUGUUUUCUGGCUUGUAACAUCUGUUUCUUCCAUAUGUUGUCCAGGACAUCUUCAGCCAAUUCCCCAGUGUGCUAGCCUAACCAUGCAAAUACAUGUUAUAUAUGUAUACUUCUUAUAUCUUGUCCUUUCCCUUGAUGUAAAUUGCCAUUUUAACUGCUAGCCUAUAUUAUAUAUCUUCUAGACAGCUUUGACACUUUUGGUCAAGAACAAAGGAGAGUGAUUUUCUGUGCCCAUCAUAUCUAGAUUUUCCACCCAGGUAACAGUUUUUGGUCCCAAGAGUAUAACUUCUCUGGUGAAUUAUAAAUAAAAAUACCAAUAUUUUAUAUUUUUUACUUUUUUUAGAUUCAAUAGUAAAACAAUAUCUUUAUGCAGUAUAAAAUUAUAGCAUUCAUGUAGCUGAAUAGCAGGUAUAUAGUCAAAAUUAGUCAUUGAGAAAAAUAAAUGUAAGUCAAUGGAAGAUAUCUUUAUUUCCAGAAAGAAACUCAGGAAAUAUUCCCUCUAACAGGAAAUAUAGAAUCUCUCCUUAUGAUGCCUCAAUUAAACAGAAAUUUCAAAAAAAUUCCUAAUUUAAUAAGAUAUUUAAAGAUAACCUCCAACGGCCACACAUUGUUUCACUACUAAGAAUAGGGAUAUUUUUAGCACCUACAAAAGAAUGACUCUGAAGAUAAAAUUCAACAACAAUAAGAUCUUUUUUAAAUAUAAAAAUCAUUAAAAAACAUGUUACUGAUAUUUAAUAACCUUUGUAUGAUAGAUCUGAAUCAACAAAUUCUGUCAGUAACAGCAAACAAACCAGACUGAAUCCUUGCAGUGGUAAUUUCAGCACUAAGCAAUCAUGCACAUGACUCAUAAAUCAUUUGCAAAAGCAACUGCAUGCAGAAACACAAAAAACAAGACAAGAAAUCCCAAACAUAAACCAACCAUUCUGUCUAUAUCUCUCCCCACCUGCUGUUCCCAUAAAUAUGCAUGGGAGUACAUGCCUCAGGAAAUACAACAAGAGCAUUAAGUACUCUAAUGAACCCAGCAAGCUAUCACUUCUACUCACUCUUAGCAGAGUUUCCGUUUUAGAAAUAACUUGAGCAUUUCAUGUGAACUUGGAAAAUUAAACUUAGUAGGAAUUCCAUUAAAUGUAUACACAUUACACAUCUUAUUUUUUCCAAGAAAGAGAAUUAUGUUUUUAAUAUGAUUUGAUAACAUUUAAAUUAAGAAUUGAGAAGUAUCAUGAUAACUAAUAUUUUUAAUAUAGCAGCUCUAUUUAGAAUAUGGACUUUUUCCUACAUGAGAAUUUCAAAAAUCUUUGGCGCUCUUUUUUAUCAUUCUGUUUUAAUCCCUGUAAUUAAUAAUGGCUUCAUAUUACACAUAUACUACUUGGAACACAGUAGUUUUCUAUAGCCUUGGGUAGUUCAGAUGUAAAUAAUGUGUCUUUUCUUCCCUCACUUGUGUCCUGUAACCAUAUGACAGUACAUUGGUAAUGAAAAUCUAUUAUCAAGUGAAAAACAUAGUUAUUGACUGGAGGGUGAAGCAAAGGUGUAAUGCAGAACAUCACUCUAGCAAUCAGAAAAAUUUUAAUUUUUGCUUACUCGGUUGGGAUGCUUCAAAAUAAUUUCGUGGAUCUAAAUAUCCAGGACUACAGUCUGACAGACAUGAUUUUUGCCUUUUCAUUCAAUAUUCAUUUUAUGAGAAACAUGGAGAACCAUCUGGAUAAUCAGAAUUUAUUUUCACCAGGUAAAAAGGUCAUGAGAAAUAAAAUGAUAUUCUAAGUCUAGAAUCAUUUCCCUAUUCUAUGGAAGAUUUAUGUCUCUACUGUAUUUUAUUGACACAACAUAUUUUCUAAGAUAAAUUUCUGAUAUAUAAUGCUAUAUUUAUAGCUUGAUUUGUACUGUUAAUAAUAUAUGCUUUCGGUAAACAGUAUUUUAGCAUUAGUGAUGAAGUACCUAACUAACUUUGAUUUUUCCUAUGUAACAGUAACUAUACAAGUGCUUAGGCCCUAUUUAUAAAUAUAAAAAAAUCAAAUCACACCAAUCAUAUUUCUAGGGUCAGUCAAGCAAAGCCAUUCUGAAUUGUCAUUUAAAUUGGAGUCCAGCCUGUUUGGGUACUUGAGCCUUAAUAUUCGUGACUUAUGUCUAAUGUAUAGCUCUCUAAAACUCAACUAAGAAAAAGUUUGUUAUUGUAGUGAAUACCAAUAUGAAACCAUUUAUUUUGUGAUAUUUUGUACAAAUUGGCUAUGAAGACAAAGAAAGAAGUUGAAUAGGAAAACUCUAAGAAGAACAAGUAAUCAUGAUAUUGCCAAAGCUGUGGGGAAGGAGGAUAUGAACAUGGCAAGCAGGAGCAAAGGGUAGGUUUUACGUACACAUUCAAAUGCGUGAUGACUUAUUUGGGAGGUAGUGGCAUUAUGUGAUCAGAGGAGAUUUCGUGAUAGAACUUUGGAUUUUGUGAAACAACAGUUGUUUUGAAUACAAAUGGUCCUUUUGAAUUAAACCAUCAGUUCAAUAUGUUUUGAUAGUUAUAACAUUUAUUUUUAAUUAAAAAUUUUAAUUAAUGUAUUAAUUUUUAUUUUCGAAUUCAUUUUGUGAAUUACGUCAGCAUUAGGAAAAAUACUCAGUGGGUAGCCUCUCUGCAAACUCAGUCACACACUCCCAUCUCUCCUUAUAGAGAAAACAAAUUAUAUAUACUUAUUUCUGUACUUCCUGGCAGAUCUGAUAAAAAGUGAGAAUGGUAGCAUAACUGAGAAUACAUUUUUGGAAAUUUAUAAAUGUGAUGGGAAUCAGCUUCACAGAAACACAACCAGAAUUAUUGACUCUGUGUGUUAUCUAUCUCUACCCUUAUCUCUAUUUGUCUAAUCUAUCUACCUCUCUAUCAAUCUGGGAAUCUAUCUACCUACCUACCAAAAGACAGAAAUAUAUGUAAUUCAUGAACUAUCUGCCCUUGAAUUAACCUAAACAAGCACUAGUAAGUGAACAUAGUUUGAAUGAGAAUUGCAUCUUUAGAGAUAUUCCACAUCUGAAUGAAAAUAUCCACAUGAGUAUCUGUCAAAGGAACUGUUUUAUCUUUUUCUUCUGUAUAGCACUCUCCUCACCCACAUGUAUUUUUUGCCUUUGUCACUUGGCUAUAAGUGACUCAGAAGGGAAAGCACUAGCCAUUUAUCCUUGAUUUUCAAAGUCAAGUACAGUGAUUGGCACAGGUAGAUAUAUUGAAUUUUUUUAAUUAAACCAAAUUUCCAGAGAUAAAUACGUUACAGUUAGAUGAAAUAAUGGGGAACAAUGAACAAAAAAUUGCCCAUGCUGAAAAUUUUCAACUCAUUAAUCCAAAUUUAAUCAU